GGUAGGGUAGCCGAGCGUUUAGGCGGUGGGUUGUAGCCCCGAAGACAGAGGUUCAAGUCCUCUCCCUGUCACCA
Molecule: transfer RNA, 74 nt
Filed under: Gnathopogon herzensteini
Lineage: Eukaryota; Metazoa; Chordata; Actinopteri; Cypriniformes; Gobionidae
Description: tRNA-Tyr
Rfam family: tRNA
About the family: Transfer RNA (tRNA) molecules are approximately 80 nucleotides in length. Their secondary structure includes four short double-helical elements and three loops (D, anti-codon, and T loops).
Source: RNAcentral